ACUCCUACGGGAGGCAGCAGUGGGGAAUAUUGCACAAUGGGCGCAAGCCUGAUGCAGCAACGCCGCGUGAGUGAUGAAGGCCUUCGGGUCGUAAAACUCUGUCCUAAGGGAAGAUAAUGACGGUACCUUAGGAGGAAGCCCCGGCUAACUACGUGCCAGCAGCCGCGGUAAUACGUAGGGGGCAAGCGUUAUCCGGAAUUACUGGGCGUAAAGGGUGCGUAGGUGGCCUGACAAGUCAGGGGUCAAAGGCAACGGCUCAACCGUUGUAAGCCCUUGAAACUGUCGGGCUUGAGUUCAGGAGAGGAAAGCGGAAUUCCUAGUGUAGCGGUGAAAUGCGUAGAUAUUAGGAGGAACACCAGUGGCGAAGGCGGCUUUCUGGACUGAUACUGACACUGAGGCACGAAAGCGUGGGGAGCAAACAGGAUUAGAUACCCUGGUAGUC
This 442-nucleotide ribosomal RNA is filed under the name uncultured bacterium. RNAcentral describes it as "bacterial SSU rRNA". It matches the Rfam family "Bacterial small subunit ribosomal RNA", at positions 335 to 795 of the family's 1533-position model. The record is from RNAcentral.